GGGGGGGGCAAGCGUUGUUCGGAAUUACUGGGCGUAAAGGGCUCGUAGGUGGCCACCUAAGUCCGACGUGAAAUCCCUCGGCUCAACCGGGGAACUGCGUCGGAUACUGGGUGGCUUGAAUCCGGGAGAGGGACGUGGAAUUCCAGGUGUAGCGGUGAAAUGCGUAGAUAUCUGGAGGAACACCGGUGGCGAAGGCGGCGUCCUGGACCGGUAUUGACACUGAGGAGCGAAAGCCAGGGGAGCAAACGGGAUUAGAUACCCUGGUAGUCCACGCCCUAAACGAUGACGACUAGUUGUUGGGGUAGAAGUACCUUAGUAACGCAGCUAACGCGUGAAGUCGUCCGCCUGGGGAGUACGGUCGCAAGAUUA
Molecule: ribosomal RNA, 369 nt
Filed under: uncultured bacterium
Lineage: Bacteria
Description: bacterial SSU rRNA
Rfam family: Bacterial small subunit ribosomal RNA
Source: RNAcentral